This 424-nucleotide ribosomal RNA is filed under the name uncultured bacterium. RNAcentral describes it as "partial 16S ribosomal RNA". It matches the Rfam family "Bacterial small subunit ribosomal RNA", at positions 354 to 796 of the family's 1533-position model. The record is from RNAcentral.
GUGGGGAAUCUUGGACAAUGGGGGAAACCCUGAUCUAGCCAUGCCGCGUGAGCGAUGAAGGCCUUAGGGUUGUAAAGCUCUUUCAGCUGGGAAGAUAAUGACGGUACCAGCAGAAGAAGCCCCGGCUAACUCCGUGCCAGCAGCCGCGGUAAUACGGAGGGGGCUAGCGUUGUUCGGAAUUACUGGGCGUAAAGCGCGCGUAGGCGGACCAGAAAGUUGGAGGUGAAAUCCCAGGGCUCAACCUUGGAACUGCCUUCAAAACUCCUGGUCUGAGUUCGAGAGAGGUGAGUGGAAUUCCGAGUGUAGAGGUGAAAUUCGUAGAUAUUCGGAGGAACACCAGUGGCGAAGGCGGCUCACUGGCUCGAUACUGACGCUGAGGUGCGAAAGCGUGGGGAGCAAACAGGAUUAGAUAACCCGGUAGUCC